CCUACGGGAGGCAGCAGUGGGGAAUAUUGCACAAUGGGCGCAAGCCUGACGCAGCAACGCCGCGUGAGGGAAGAAGGCUUUCGGGUUGUAAACUUCUUUUCUGAGGGACGAAGAAAGUGACGGUACCUCAGGAAUAAGCCACGGCUGACUACGUGCCAGCAGCCGCGGUACUUCGUAGGUGGCAAGCGUUCUCCGGAGUUAUUGGGUGUAAGGGCCGGGUCGGAGGGCCAGCAAGUCAGAUGUGAACAGCCAGGGCUCAACCCUGGGCCUGCAUUGGAAACUGGUGUUCUUGAGUGCUGGAGAGGCAAUCGGAAGUCCGGGUGUAGCGGUGAAAUGCGUAGAUAUACGGAGGAACACCAGUGGCGAAGGCGGAUUGCUGGACAGUAACUGACGCUGAGGCGCGAAAGCGUGGGGAGCAAACAGGAUUAGAUACCCUAGUAGUC
Molecule: ribosomal RNA, 443 nt
Filed under: uncultured bacterium
Lineage: Bacteria
Description: partial 16S ribosomal RNA
Rfam family: Bacterial small subunit ribosomal RNA
Source: RNAcentral